RNAcentral lists this unclassified non-coding RNA (240 nucleotides) under soil metagenome. Its description in RNAcentral is "partial contains 5.8S ribosomal RNA, internal transcribed spacer 2, and large subunit ribosomal RNA". The record is from RNAcentral.
AAGACUAUAGACCUGCGGAGUACCUGCGGAAGGAUCAUUACAUGGCGGAGAAGGUGGGCAACCUGGCCAACAUCCAGGUUGUGAUGCCUUCGCGCUCUUCCACCCUUGUCUAUUUGCACCUUCUGUCGUUCCCUCGGCGGGUUUCGACCCGCCGGCGGCAACAUUGAAAAACCCUUUUUGCAGUUAGCAUUCAAUUCUUCUGAUCAAAUAUUAAAUCAUUACAACUUUUAACAACGGAUC